GUGAGGAAUAUUGCGCAAUGGAGGCAACUCUGACGCAGCCAUGCCGCGUGCAGGAAGAAGGCGCUACGCGUUGUAAACUGCUUUUAACCGGGAAGAAACCCCAGGACGUGUCCUGGGUUGACGGUACCGGAGGAAUAAGCACCGGCUAACUUCGUGCCAGCAGCCGCGGUAAUACGAAGGGUGCAAGCGUUAUCCGGAUUCAUUGGGUUUAAAGGGUGCGUAGGCGGAGCGUUAAGUCAGUGGUGGAAUCCUGCAGCUUAACUGUAGACUUGCCAUUGAUACUGGCGCUCUUGAGUGCGCUUGAAGUGGGCGGAAUGUGCCGUGUAGCGGUGAAAUGCUUAGAUAUGGCACAGAACACCAAUUGCGAAGGCAGCUCACUAAGGCGAUACUGACGCUGAGGCACGAAAGCGUGGGGAUCGAACAGGAUUAGAUACCCCUGUAGUCC
RNAcentral lists this ribosomal RNA (445 nucleotides) under uncultured bacterium. RNAcentral describes it as "partial 16S ribosomal RNA". It matches the Rfam family "Bacterial small subunit ribosomal RNA", at positions 354 to 796 of the family's 1533-position model. The record is from RNAcentral.